Molecule: small nuclear RNA, 20 nt
Filed under: Arabidopsis thaliana (thale cress)
Lineage: Eukaryota; Viridiplantae; Streptophyta; Magnoliopsida; Brassicales; Brassicaceae
Description: snRNA_15985
Source: RNAcentral
GAUCUUCUGAGAAGGGUUCG